GGAGAGGUAGCACAGCAGUAGUGCACCAGACUUUCAAAGUCUGAGGUUCAGAAAUUCCAAGUUCAGUCCUCUGCGCCUCCA
This 81-nucleotide transfer RNA is filed under the name Erinaceus europaeus (western European hedgehog). It matches the Rfam family "tRNA". From Rfam's summary of the family: Transfer RNA (tRNA) molecules are approximately 80 nucleotides in length. Lineage: Eukaryota; Metazoa; Chordata; Mammalia; Eulipotyphla; Erinaceidae. The record is from Rfam by way of RNAcentral.